AUUCCUUUCUUCUUCCUCCUUAAGGUCUAAACGUUUAUUGAACGGAGGCUCAAAACCGAGUUACUGAACUAGGCUUUCAGUAGUAGACACGUGUCAUGUUUAAGAUUUAUUUUAUUCAUUUCCAUCCAUUGUGCCAAAGGACCUGCUCCAGGAAAAUGCUCCCCUGUUGAUAGGUGCGGGAGAGUAAAAGGGAGACGAUGAAGCUAAAUUAAAACUGAAGUCCUUUGUGCUCAGGGAAUAUGACCUUAGAGUGGGAGAGGGGCGGGGAGUGAGUAGAAAAGUCGGCGAAGCAAAAAUAAGGAAGGUUGGGGCCCUGUAACCUAGCAUCCUGAAAUAUCAGCGUAGGUAAGGUAGCAGGCAAGGCACGAAUGCACUCAAAGCCCAGGUGUACUUCCCUCAUCAAAUGCUGGCUCCCGAAGGGUACUGAGGGGAGGGGUCACGCGGGGGGAGGGGGGGUGUCCCUGGAUGGUUUUUUCCUCUUUAGGGACCUGCUUGCCGGAUGAUUCCGUCUCCCACUUGCUUCUCUUCGGCUCCUUCUUUCCCAUCUGCCAGGGGAGCUUAAAGACAUCUCUGCCGCCCAGUUACAAAAAGUGGCAACUUCCCCUCCGGCCCGCAGACUGAUCGCUCAUUUGAAUGCGUUUCCUUUUCAUUAAGAACAAAGGUUGGAGUCCGAGCCUCGCGGCGCGGCGGCCGGAAAGUACAAGAUGUGUGUCGAGAGCAAACACACACACACACACACACACACACACACACAGAAUGACCCACGAGAAAGGGAAAGGGGAAAACACCAAUCCUGCGCUGGGCUUUUUCGACUUUUCCUUUAAAAAGAAAAAAGUUUUUCAAGCUGUAGGUUCCAAGAACCGGCAGGAGGGGGGCGAGGCGGGGUGGGGGGGUGUACAGAAAAGGCGCCUGGUCGGUUAUGAGUCACAAGUGGGUUAUAAAAGGGUCGCACGUUCGCAGGCGCGGGCUUCCUGUGCGCGGCUGAGCCGGGGCGCAGCGCGACGGUCCCAUCGGGCGGCCUCCACCCUCGGGACGCGAGCGGAGCGCCGAGCCCAGCGGCGAUCACGCGACGCGGGGAAGGAAGGAAGGUGGUGCAAACCAGGAAGGGGAAAUCUGUGGUUUACGUUCUCUGUGCCUCAUCCCUCUCGGAGAGCUGGAGGCUUGCUGGAGGCUAUAUGCUGUUAAUGCUAAUUGUGAUAGGGGUUUUUACCUCCGUCUGACUCCUACAUGUUAGCAUUAACAGGGUAUGAUGCCUGUUACUAGCAUUCACAUGGAACAAACUGCUGCUGUGGGAGGAUGACAAAGAAGUGUGAGUCACCCUGCUGGAUAAACUCAGACUUUAAGCUUUAUUAUUUUUUGUUAAUCAUAAUCUGGUCACUGGGAUGUUCCACCUGAUAGUAAGUCUUUAAGAAUAAGGUCUUGUAAAAGAUUUAUCAACGGUAUCCUGAAAGCAAACUUUUUUACUUUAAUCCUUAAGCCCACAUUUUUUUUAAAAAAAUCUUUAAUGGAAAAUGUAUUCCUGUCCUUUUUAAUUCACAGUUAUGGUUUGUUCAUUAUAACUGUUUAUAAACACUUUGAAUAAUUUAACUAGAAAGAAAUAUAAACACAUUCUGAGUAUCUUUGCAGUUAAAAAUUAGGACUACUAUCCACUAAUUAAUCAUGGAUUGUUGGGAAAUAUGUUCAAAAAGAUUUAGAAAUUGGUAUUUCCCCCAUGUAACAAUUCUAUUUAGACAACUUCAGUUUCAAAUGGAUACUUUUAUAUGAAUCUUAAAGUAGACUUGAAAGGCUAUGGCAAUUAGUUUUUAAAAAAUGAAAGAUUUCAUUCUUUUUUAUGGCUGAGUAGUAUUCCAUUGCAUAUAUAUACCACAUAUCCUUAAUCCACCCAUUCGUCUGUCGCUGGACAUUUAGGCUGUUUCCAUUUGCAGCAACAUGGAUGCAAAUAGAGAUUCUCAUACUAAAUGAAGUUAAGUCAGAAAGAUAAAGACAAAUUCCAUAUGAUAUCAGUUAUAUGUGGACUCAAAAAUAUGGCACAAAUGAACCUAUCUACAAAACAGAAACAGACCCACAGACAUAGAGAAUAGACUUGUGGUUGCCAAGGGGGAGGGAAGAGGGAGUGGGAUGGAUGGGCAGUUUGGGGUUAGUAGAUACAGACUAUUACAUUUAGAUUAGAUGGGCAAUGAGGUCCUACUAUUCAGCACGGGGAACUAUAUCCAGUCUCUUGGGAUAGACCAUGAUGGAAGAUAAUAUAAGACAAGGAAUGAAUAUAUACAUAUGACUGGGUCACCUUGCUGCAAUAGCAGAACUUGCCACAACGUUGUACAUCAACUAUACGUUAAUAAAAAAAUCAAAAAGAUUUUUUAAACUUAGUAC
This 2370-nucleotide long non-coding RNA is filed under the name Sus scrofa (pig). RNAcentral describes it as "lncRNA (ENSSSCG00035050514.1)". The stretch from base 1179 to 1243 matches the Rfam family "mir-155 microRNA precursor family". Lineage: Eukaryota; Metazoa; Chordata; Mammalia; Artiodactyla; Suidae. The record is from RNAcentral.